UAGGUCUUAGUUUAGUAAAAAUGUUUGACUGUUAAUCAAAAGACGUUGUUGAAACAGAUUUAG
RNAcentral lists this transfer RNA (63 nucleotides) under Callista chinensis. RNAcentral describes it as "tRNA-Asn". It matches the Rfam family "tRNA". Rfam says of the family: Transfer RNA (tRNA) molecules are approximately 80 nucleotides in length. Their secondary structure includes four short double-helical elements and three loops (D, anti-codon, and T loops). Lineage: Eukaryota; Metazoa; Mollusca; Bivalvia; Venerida; Veneridae. The record is from RNAcentral.